GAUGAAGACGUAGCGAAAUGCGAUACGUAAUGUGAAUUGCAGAAUUCAGUGAAUCAUCGAGUCUUUGAACGCACAUUGCGCCCCCUGGUAUUCCGGGGGGCAUGCCUGUCCGAGCGUCAUUGCUGCCCUCAAGCACGGCUUGUGUGUUGGGCCUCCGUCCUCCUCCCGGGGGACGGGCCCGAAAGGCAGCGGCGGCACCGCGUCCGGUCCUCGAGCGUAUGGGGCUUCGUCACCCGCUCUUGUAGGCCCGGCCGGCGCUUGCCGACACAUCAAUCUUUUUUCCAGGUUGACCUCGGAUCAGGUAGGGAUACCCGCUGAACUUAAGCAUAUCAAUAAGCGGAGGA
Molecule: unclassified non-coding RNA, 344 nt
Filed under: soil metagenome
Description: partial contains 5.8S ribosomal RNA, internal transcribed spacer 2, and large subunit ribosomal RNA
Rfam family: 5.8S ribosomal RNA (bases 1-119)
Source: RNAcentral